CCUGGUGGCUCAGAGGUUAAAGCAUCUGCCUGCAAUGUGGGAGACCUGGGUUCGAUCCCUGAGCCAGGA
Molecule: transfer RNA, 69 nt
Filed under: Capra hircus (goat)
Lineage: Eukaryota; Metazoa; Chordata; Mammalia; Artiodactyla; Bovidae
Also listed under: 1 other name
Rfam family: tRNA
About the family: Transfer RNA (tRNA) molecules are approximately 80 nucleotides in length.
Source: Rfam by way of RNAcentral